Molecule: long non-coding RNA, 2210 nt
Filed under: Vitis vinifera (wine grape)
Lineage: Eukaryota; Viridiplantae; Streptophyta; Magnoliopsida; Vitales; Vitaceae
Description: long non-coding RNA (VVIN_LNC004010)
Source: RNAcentral
UCAAUCCAGUCUUCUGCUGCAUCUCAUUCUGCUUCUCAGUUGUUUCUUUCGUUCUUCGGAAGGUGAUCGACUCAAACCUGAAAUCACAUUUAGCAAAAGAGAGAGAAAAACUUCUGAGUUGUUCCAGCUAUAAUACUCUAGUUAUGAGUAGAUAUUGACAUGGAAAAUGGUUGUGACACAUUCCUUUACUGGGAUGUAAGCAUCAUGUGGCAAAUUGGCAAUGUAUCUACCUUUUCUUUUCUUUUUCUUUUUUUCUUUUUUUCUUUUUUUGAUGAGAAAUAAUAGUGCAGUAUAUUGAAGUAAGUAAAAAUAAGUAUAAAGAAGGAUGGGAAAUCCUCCAAAAAGUACACAAAAGAAAGCAAGAACCUUCAAGUUCAAGAAUCUAUAUAACUAUGAGGUUCCAAAAGCUAUGUUCCAAGUGAGAAUAUACAAAAGCAAUCUAUCCUUGCUAGCCCACACCCUUGGAACUAGACACCAACAUCUAAUCAAGUUGGAUCAAAUUAAGACGAACACCCUCAAAAGUUGUCAUAAUGCCCAAAAGGAAGCUAAGAAAUGAAUUAUGUCCCAAAGACUCUCUGAAGUUCUCGCCUUGUCCUAAAAAACCUUAGCAUUCCACACAACCCACAUUAUAGCAAGCCAAGCAAACUACAACAACACCUUGCCUCUACUAGAAUUUCUCAAUCCUCUAUAUGAAAUAAUUUUCAUGUCAUAUAUACUCCUAGGAGGAACCCAAUCCAUAUGAGUCAAGCUAAAUAGUCCGUGCCAAAGCCCCAAACUCAAUGGGCAAUGUAAAAAGAUAUGAUCUACCGUUUCACCACUUUCCAUACACAACAAAUAAACCUUAGGACUGAGGCCUUUGUAGGAUCUUCUCAAUUGUAACGUGUCAUUGGUAUUUACCUUUUUGAGUGCCACUAACCAAGCAAAGAAUUUGACCUUAAAUGGGGCUUAAAAUUUCCAAACAAAAUCAAUAGGGAAUGAUGAAGUUGGAUCAAUAUGGUUGGACAGGACUAAAAAGAAUGACUUUACUGUAAAUAAACCUGAAGAAAAUAGGGACCAAGCUCUCAACUCAUGACCAAAUGGAGAUAAGUGCAAGAUGUAUCUACCUUCAAAUUUGUAAAACCACCAUUCCGGUAUAUAAGAGUUGAGUAGACCAUCAAAAUAGAUGGAUGCAUCACUCAAAAUAAAAUAAUUUCAAUUCCCCAAGGAAGCCACUGCACAACUCUAUGUCAUAUUCCUUUGAUCUUAACCAACAGUGAAAAAAAUGCAUUCGAGAAGCUUGAAAAAUGGAAGUUUAGCGUACAAUGUCAAUAUUCAAUAAGGUUCAUAGAGUACAAGACAAUACCAAGACAUCUGAGAACAAAUGGACAUGCAUACCCAAUCAAAGUGAAAAACAGAUACAAAUUUAAAAGCCAAACACAUAUUUCACACCCACAACUGGCCAGCCCAACCAGGAAGCUACUUAGACGGCUACCUAAAGCUUUACAUGGGUAAAGGCCGAAAUCUUCAGAAAAGGAGAAAAAUAAUAAUAAAUCUCUGAACUACGCGUAAGUAUCAAUUAGAAGUUCUACGAUUCAAGUGGUUGACGGAUUGGUUAUCAAAGUCCUCCCGCUCUUGCCAUUUCCACAUAAAUUGUAUUCCCUUUAUUUAACAAAAAAAAAAAAAAGAAAAAAAAGCUUUUGAACUCACAAAUAUAUCCGCUAGGAAAUUUGAUUCUGGAUAUCAAAAUUUCACAGAAAAUAGAUAAAAAUUAUUUUCGUCUAAAAAAACAAAAGGAUUCCGCAAUUCUCUAUCUCCAAACAACUGGCUGAGCCACUGAAAAUUUCAAAAAGGAAAAAGAAAAACAAUGGAAAAGUGUUGGUGAACUCCCAAUUGGAGAGCUAUACCAUCUUAAUAUCCGCAACAUUGAUGAAAACCACAAUCUUUAAACACAAUUCUUGAUCAUCAUUGAAAAAAGAAAAAAGAAGGGGAAAAAAACAAGAGAGAGAUAGAGAGAGUACCUGAUGAAAGACUUGCCAUUGAGAGGCUUAUCUUCGGAAUUGGGGUGAGGGAGGUGGAGUUUGGAAGCGUAGAGACCCUCGCUGCCGCCAUGGAAGAAGUAGGAAUUGAGACGACGACUGAAACCUUCAUUCCUGUACUCGUGGAUCGAAGCUUGGACGACUGUGGCGGAGGACCACAGUAGCAUAAACCCUAGGAACCGCACCAGAUCCCAC